CCUACGGGAGGCUGCAGUGGGGAAUAUUGGACAAUGGGCAAAAGCCUGAUCCAGCCAUGCCGCGUGUGUGAAGAAGGCCUUCGGGUUGUAAAGCACUUUCAGUGGGGAAGAAAGCCUUGGGGCUAAUACCCUCGAGGAAGGACAUCACCCACAGAAGAAGCACCGGCUAACUCCGUGCCAGCAGCCGCGGUAAUACGGAGGGUGCGAGCGUUAAUCGGAAUUACUGGGCGUAAAGCGCGCGUAGGCGGUCUGAUAAGCCGGUUGUGAAAGCCCCGGGCUCAACCUGGGAACGGCAUCCGGAACUGUCAGGCUAGAGUGCAGGAGAGGAAGGUAGAAUUCCCGGUGUAGCGGUGAAAUGCGUAGAGAUCGGGAGGAAUACCAGUGGCGAAGGCGGCCUUCUGGACUGACACUGACGCUGAGGUGCGAAAGCGUGGGUAGCAAACAGGAUUAGAUACCCCAGUAGU
RNAcentral lists this ribosomal RNA (464 nucleotides) under Vreelandella stevensii. RNAcentral describes it as "partial 16S ribosomal RNA". It matches the Rfam family "Bacterial small subunit ribosomal RNA", at positions 338 to 794 of the family's 1533-position model. The record is from RNAcentral. Lineage: Bacteria; Pseudomonadati; Pseudomonadota; Gammaproteobacteria; Oceanospirillales; Halomonadaceae.